RNAcentral lists this ribosomal RNA (327 nucleotides) under uncultured eukaryote. RNAcentral's name for it is "partial 18S ribosomal RNA". It matches the Rfam family "Eukaryotic small subunit ribosomal RNA", at positions 1470 to 1796 of the family's 1831-position model. The record is from RNAcentral.
CCCUUAGAUGUUCUGGGCCGCACGCGCGCUACACUGACGAAUGCAACGAGCUUAUAACCUUGGCCGAAAGGUCUGGGUAAUCUCCAAAUUUCGUCGUGAUGGGGAUAGAUUAUUGCAAUUAUUAAUCUUCAACGAGGAAUGCCUAGUAAGCGCAAGUCAUCAGCUUGCGUUGAUUACGUCCCUGCCCUUUGUACACACCGUCCGUCGCUCCUACCGAUUGAAUGGUCCGGUGAAGCGCUCGGACCGCGGCCUCUUGACGGUUCGCUGUCGAUUGGCUGUGGGAAGUUCGUUAAACCUUAUCAUUUAGAGGAAGGAGAAGUCGUAACA